AAUGGGCGAAAGCCUGACGCAGCCACGCCGCGUGCCGGAUGAAGGCCUAUGGGUUGUAAACGGCUUUUACUAGGGAAGAAGAGAGGGUUUCGAUCUUCUGUGACGGUACCUAGUGAAUAAGCACCGGCUAACUCCGUGCCAGCAGCCGCGGUAAUACGGAGGGUGCAAGCGUUGUCCGGAAUCAUUGGGUGUAAAGGGUACGUAGGCGGGAGCCUAAGUCUGGGGUGAAAUCUUGCCGCUUAACGGUAAAAUGGCCCUGGAUACUGGGUUUCUUGAGUGCAGAAGAGGCAGGUGGAAUUCGUGGUGUAGCGGUGAAAUGCUUAGAUAUCACGAAGAACAUCAGUGGCGAAGGCGGCCUGCUGGUCUGCAACUGACGCUGAGGUACGAAAGCGUGGGGAGCGAACAGGAUU
This 410-nucleotide ribosomal RNA is filed under the name uncultured Gammaproteobacteria bacterium. RNAcentral's name for it is "bacterial SSU rRNA". It matches the Rfam family "Bacterial small subunit ribosomal RNA", at positions 370 to 779 of the family's 1533-position model. The record is from RNAcentral. Lineage: Bacteria; Pseudomonadati; Pseudomonadota; Gammaproteobacteria.